GGUAAUACAGAGGGUGCAAGCGUUAAUCGGAAUUACUGGGCGUAAAGCGCGCGUAGGUGGUUUGUUAAGUUGGAUGUGAAAUCCCCGGGCUCAACCUGGGAACUGCAUUCAAAACUGACUGACUAGAGUAUGGUAGAGGGUGGUGGAAUUUCCUGUGUAGCGGUGAAAUGCGUAGAUAUAGGAAGGAACACCAGUGGCGAAGGCGACCACCUGGACUAAUACUGACACUGAGGUGCGAAAGCGUGGGGAGCAAACAGG
RNAcentral lists this ribosomal RNA (258 nucleotides) under uncultured Pseudomonas sp. RNAcentral's name for it is "partial 16S ribosomal RNA". It matches the Rfam family "Bacterial small subunit ribosomal RNA", at positions 519 to 776 of the family's 1533-position model. Lineage: Bacteria; Pseudomonadati; Pseudomonadota; Gammaproteobacteria; Pseudomonadales; Pseudomonadaceae. The record is from RNAcentral.